AAUUAGUAUGUAUAAAUCAUGCAUUGAAACGAGGACAGCGGCGCGAUAGAGGUUGCGCGGAAGGGAGCGGCCGCUGGCCGCUGCAGUGUUGCCAGGUGGGGCGUGCAUUUCACGAGAACAACAUGGCGCGUGAAGCUGCGGUGGCGGAGUAGAAGGACGAGAGAAGGCGAAGAAGAAAUGAAAAAUCAGCAUACUAACCUUGAAAUUGAAUUACAAUAUCUGUUGCAAAUUUUGUUAGAUUAAACGAAACUCAAACUUUACAAAGUCACAUGAUCUAAUAAAAUAAAUUUUUUACCGUAAAUUUUAUUAAUUUAUUAAUUUUAAUUAUUUGAUAUUUUGGUCUUCUUUCCUUUUCUUCAUCUUCAUCACCAUUUUCGUUCAUAUUCAUUCCAAUCCCAAAAAUAUCAGAAAAAUUAAAAUUCCAAAAUCAAGAUUUCCAUGAUUUAUUCAAUCUUGUUUUGGUUCAUUAUGGAUCAUUUGAAUGUUUGAAUAUGAAGAUUAUUUUUCUGAGCACUGAUACCUGUAUUUAAAUCCAUAAAUUCAUUAAUAUAUGAUAGAACACUUUUCGCG
This 570-nucleotide long non-coding RNA is filed under the name Lathyrus oleraceus (garden pea). RNAcentral's name for it is "Pisum sativum (pea) long non-coding RNA (PSAT_LNC023537)". Lineage: Eukaryota; Viridiplantae; Streptophyta; Magnoliopsida; Fabales; Fabaceae. The record is from RNAcentral.